GUCGAGCGCACCCUUCGGGGCGAGCGGCGGACGGGUUAGUAACGCGUGGGAACAUACCCUUUUCUAUGGAAUAGCCUUUGGAAACGAAGAGUAAUACCAUAUACGCCCUUCGGGGGAAAGAUUUAUCGGAGAAGGAUUGGCCCGCGUAAGAUUAGAUAGUUGGUGGGGUAAUGGCCUACCAAGUCUACGAUCUUUAGCUGGUUUUAGAGGAUGAUCAGCAACACUGGGACUGAGACACGGCCCAGACUCCUACGGGAGGCAGCAGUGGGGAAUCUUAGACAAUGGGCGCAAGCCUGAUCUAGCCAUGCCGCGUGUGUGAUGAAGGCCUUAGGGUCGUAAAGCACUUUCGCCAGAGAUGAUAAUGACAGUAUCUGGUAAAGAAACCCCGGCUAACUCCGUGCCAGCAGCCGCGGUAAUACGGAGGGUGCGAGCGUUAAUCGGAAUUACUGGGCGUAAAGCGCACGCAGGCGGUUAUAUAAGCUAGAUGUGAAAGCCCCGGGCUCAACCUGGGAAUAGCAUUUAGAACUGUAUGACUAGAGUCUUGGAGAGGGGAGUGGAAUUCCAGGUGUAGCGGUGAAAUGCGUAGAUAUCUGGAGGAACAUCAGUGGCGAAGGCGACUCC
RNAcentral lists this ribosomal RNA (621 nucleotides) under uncultured bacterium. RNAcentral's name for it is "bacterial SSU rRNA". It matches the Rfam family "Bacterial small subunit ribosomal RNA", at positions 61 to 728 of the family's 1533-position model. The record is from RNAcentral.